Long non-coding RNA from Bombyx mori (domestic silkworm), 1215 nucleotides. RefSeq lists it as uncharacterized. Lineage: Eukaryota; Metazoa; Arthropoda; Insecta; Lepidoptera; Bombycidae. The transcript has 4 exons. The record is from RefSeq and is a predicted model, not a curated record.
CGCUGAUUCCGUUUAAUGAUCAAAAACCUCGAGUCGACAGUUUGGUGACGAUAAAUAAUUAUAGAUCUUUUGGAUUAUUUUUAAUUUGUUAUAUCACGAAAGUCUGUAAUCGUGCUUCAUAAUAUUAAGGCAUCCGAAGCCACAGUAUAGAGAUAUUAUAAAAAUGUAAAACGUACACAGGAUUGAAUCGAAGAUCAAGGCUUUUUCAUUUAUUACAAGGUGGAGCUUUGGAGGUGCCGGUCUACGGCUACCAACAACAUUAGUUGGUUUUAUAAUUAAGUAUCGAUGUGAUUUUCCUUUGAUUAGAUGACCAAAGUAUUAAUCAUAUUAAAAUGAUGAAUGACACGGACAAAUACACAAUGCACGAAGUUGAGAAACGUAUUGGUGUGAACAGAAAGUACAAUCAUUACAUAAACAUAACGUUAAUAUUAUUCGUUUUUGUGCAAUUACUACGAAUUUCCACAGCAUUUAAUGUUCGCCCAACAGGGUGCACUCAAAAUGAACAAUGCACAGCUGGUUAUUAUUGUAAUACAUACACAUAUGUUUGUAAUAAAUGCAUAAAUUGUCAACAAGGACGUGAAUUUGUCAUGGAGAAUACUACACCAAAUAACAGAUCAAAUAAUUGUACAUCUUUCGGUUGUGGGCCAUUGCUUCGAAGAGAAAGCAAAGCUGAUCGAAGUAUGGCUAAUACAACAAUGGACGGUUUGACACUACGAGAGCUUAAUGUGUCAAAAUAUGUCAAUCUACAUGUGAUCGUUUGGAUUAUCGCGACUUGUGCUGGCGUUGUGAUUAGUUUUAUUUUCUUUUGUACUUUGAGUACUAUGUAGUAAUUUAUAAUUAAUCUGCUGAAAUGCCAAAACAUUGUACCAAAAAUACGUUCAUAAUGCAUUUUAAAUGUAGAAUAUUUCGAAGGAAUAAGGACAUAUGAAAAAUAAUUGUUAAUAUUUACGGUUGGAUACUCAACAAAGUAACUAUAAAAGUAUCUAGUUUUGUUAUGAUGUCUAAAUAUAGAUUCAAAACUUUUUUUUGUUUAUGUUUUUUUAUAAAAAUCAAUUUUUUUUGUCAACAUCGUACUAUAUCAAUCUCGUUAUUAUUAUAAUUUUUUAGAAACAACGUGCUCGUUGAAAAAUACAAAUUUGUCAUACGUAAGAAUAAUGAUCCAUUGUAAUUUUACAACAUUUCAGUAUUCAAAAUAAUAUUAAUUUGAGUAGAUUA